GCUGGACAAUAUCUAAAAUAUAGCAUCACAUAUAAAAAAGACAUCAUACAGUUGUGCUUAAAAGUUUGCAUACCCCUGGAGAAUUGGUAAUAUAUGUACAAUUUUUUCGUGAGUGAGCAGGCAAAAAACAUUUCUUCUAUUUAUUAUGGAAUUAGAUUCAACUGUAGGUUUUAACAGAAUGGCACAAUCAUAAAACAAAACAUGGCAACAAGGAAUAAAAAUGAAAUGACCCAUGUUCAAAAGUUUGCAUACCCUUAAUUCUUAAUACUGUGUAUUGCCUCCUUUAGCAUCAAUGACAACGCAAACUCUUUUGUAAUAGUUGUCUAUGAGGCCCCUAAUUCUUGCAGGUGGUAUAGCUGUCCAUUUGUCUUUGCAAAAUGCCUCCUCGUCAUGCAGUUUGG
This is a non-coding RNA of Pelobates cultripes (western spadefoot toad), 401 nucleotides long. Lineage: Eukaryota; Metazoa; Chordata; Amphibia; Anura; Pelobatidae. The record is from the annotation of a GenBank genome assembly.